This 261-nucleotide ribosomal RNA is filed under the name uncultured bacterium. RNAcentral describes it as "partial 16S ribosomal RNA". It matches the Rfam family "Bacterial small subunit ribosomal RNA", at positions 1240 to 1500 of the family's 1533-position model. The record is from RNAcentral.
CAAAGAGAAGCGAAGCGGUGACGUGGAGCAAACCUCNGAAAGCCAAUCCCAGUUCGGAUUGUAGGCUGCAACUCGCCUACAUGAAGUUGGAAUCGCUAGUAAUCGCGAAUCAGAAUGUCGCGGUGAAUACGUUCCCGGGUCUUGUACACACCGCCCGUCACACCACGAGAGUUUACAACACCCGAAGUCAGUGGCCUAACCGCAAGGAGGGAGCUGCCUAAGGUGGGGUAGAUGAUUGGGGUGAAGUCGUAACAAGGUAAC